GACGAACGCUGGCGGCGUGCUUAACACAUGCAAGUCGAACGGUAAGGCCCUUCGGGGUACACGAGAGGCGAACGGGUGAGUAACACGUGGGUGAUCUGCCCUGCACUUCGGGAUAAGCCUGGGAAACUGGGUCUAAUACCGGAUAGGACCACUGCCUGCAUGGGUGGUGGUGGAAAGCUUUUGCGGUGUGGGAUGGGCCCGCGGCCUAUCAGCUUGUUGGUGGGGUGAUGGCCUACCAAGGCGACGACGGGUAGCCGGCCUGAGAGGGUGACCGGCCACACUGGGACUGAGAUACGGCCCAGACUCCUACGGGAGGCAGCAGGGGGGAAUAUUGCACAAUGGGCGCAAGCCUGAUGCAGCGACGCCGCGUGAGGGAUGACGGCCUUCGGGUUGUAAACCUCUUUCAGCACCGACGAAGCGCAAGUGACGGUAGGUGCAGAAGAAGGACCGGCCAACUACGUGCCAGCAGCCGCCGUAA
RNAcentral lists this ribosomal RNA (478 nucleotides) under uncultured bacterium. Its description in RNAcentral is "partial 16S ribosomal RNA". It matches the Rfam family "Bacterial small subunit ribosomal RNA", at positions 28 to 523 of the family's 1533-position model. The record is from RNAcentral.